This 394-nucleotide ribosomal RNA is filed under the name uncultured bacterium. RNAcentral's name for it is "bacterial SSU rRNA". It matches the Rfam family "Bacterial small subunit ribosomal RNA", at positions 28 to 423 of the family's 1533-position model. The record is from RNAcentral.
GACGAACGCUGGCGGCGUGCUUAACACAUGCAAGUCGAACGGUAAGGCCCUUCGGGGUACGACGAGUGGCGAACGGGUGGAGUAACACGUGGGUGAUCUGCCCUGCACUUCGGGAUAAGCUUGGGAAACUGGGUCUAAUACCGGAUAGGACCACGGUCUGCAUGGAUUGUGGUGGAAAGCUUUUGCGGUGUGGGAUGGGCCCGCGGCCUAUCAGCUUGUUGGUGGGGUGAUGGCCUACCAAGGCGACGACGGGUAGCCGGCCUGAGAGGGUGUCCGGCCACACUGGGACUGAGAUACGGCCCAGACUCCUACGGGAGGCAGCAGUGGGGAAUAUUGCACAAUGGGCGCAAGCCUGAUGCAGCGACGCCGCGUGGGGGAGUGACGGCCUUCGGUU